This 74-nucleotide transfer RNA is filed under the name Sphaerodactylus townsendi. RNAcentral describes it as "tRNA-Val". The record is from RNAcentral. Lineage: Eukaryota; Metazoa; Chordata; Lepidosauria; Squamata; Sphaerodactylidae.
GGAAGGCUGUGACUCAGUAGCAGAGCAUCUGCUUGACAUGCAGUAGAUCCCUGGUUCAAUCCCUGCCAUCUCCA